Molecule: ribosomal RNA, 301 nt
Filed under: uncultured bacterium
Lineage: Bacteria
Description: partial 16S ribosomal RNA
Rfam family: Bacterial small subunit ribosomal RNA
Source: RNAcentral
CAGCAGCCGCGGUAAUACGUAGGUGGCGAGCGUUGUCCGGAAUUAUUGGGCGUAAAGGGAGCGCAGGCGGACAUAUAAGUCCAUCUUAAAAGUGCGGGGCUCAACCCCGUGAGGGGAUGGAAACUGUAUGCCUUGAGUGCAGGAGAGGAAAGCGGAAUUCCCAGUGUAGCGGUGAAAUGCGUAGAUAUUGGGAGGAACACCAGUGGCGAAGGCGGCUUUCUGGACUGCAACUGACACUGAGGCUCGAAAGCCAGGGGAGCGAACGGGAUUAGAUACCCCCGUAGUCCCUGUCUCUUAUACA